GGGGCUCGGCGCGGCGGCGUGGGGAGGGAGGUAGGAGCCGAGAGCCGAGGCGGCCGGCUCUGCGGUGACUGGGGAUCCUCGGGCCCUGCCCGCCGUCUGAGGGGGUCACCUGCGCGGCCGUGCGCUGGAGUCACCGAGGAGUCCCGCCGUGCCGGUGGGCGGGGGAGCGUGUCGAGGAGACUCGCGCAGCCCGGGACAGGCACAGAUGGAAGGUCAGCGCUUGUGAAGCUUUGUGCGCCCGGGGCAGAGGCUGUGGCAAGCUUCCAGAGGCUGUUCUGUUUCAUAUGCUGUAGAAAACCUUGGCCGAAACAGUUCUGCCCUAGUGACACUGUUGGCACCUUCACCUGUUCUUCUCUUCCUAGUUUCUGUCUCACCUGCACCCGAAGGGGUCUUUUUUGGAGUCCUUCUAAAGCUUCACGCUGGCUUCAUCAGACUGUUUCUGCAUUUCUCUUAAUUUGCACUGCAUUGUGGAUUCCUCACAAAGAAAAGAAAAUAGAAUAACCUCAUGCCACUUAAUACCACUGAGGUGAUGUCAACUGUUCAAAUUAGUAGAAGAAUUGGAAGCUGAUCUCACAUGCAAAAUCUUUACCUUGUGAAUUAUUCUGCAAGACUAGUUAUAUUUGUUCUAGAUAAAGUGCUAUGCGAAAACACUGUUUCUGAGAAAUAUCUAUAGCAUCAAGAGAAGUAAUUGGACUGUUGGAAGCAGAGGAGUGUUGGUACAAGUUUUGAUGUCUUGUUCUCCUCCACUAACCUUUGUCACAGUGGAAGGAAGGGAUGCCAUUCAGAGGGACCUCAACAGACCUGAAAGCUUCAUAGUCAUUCUCUGGGAUGCUUCUGCUUUGACUUCUGCAGCCUUCCUCCUUUUAAUCCUGUGCCUGGAUGAAGACUAUCAGAUACCACCCCGGUGUGGCUGGGAAAGGAACAUCCAUUCCAUCAGCUCUGCUUCUUGCCUCCUUGCUGGCAGGUACAUGUCUGUGAGUAGCACAGGGGAAACAAGAAGGUCAGCCUCUGGCUUCUCAACGUGCACUGGGUGUAAGGCUGUCAGAGUGUUGCAAACUGUCCUGUCAGGUGUCUUCAAAGUUCUGUUAAUUUAUUUGUUUCUGACUUAGAAGCAAGAGCAAGUUAGUAGAGCUGGUAAUAUAUAGAUAUUUUUUAAUAAUGGCUCUGAGUUAGUUGCAGUGUGUUUUAGAUGAUGUGAUAUUUUCUUCUUUUGUUUUCUAUUACAAAGUACUAUUACAAAGUAUUAAAAUAUUUUGUCCAGAAGUACCUGACAAGUACCAAGAACACAGUUUAAUCUCCCCAUCUUCCCAAGGAAUCCUGUAUCUGUUGUGGUUGUAAACACUGACAAUUAGACUGGCUAAUACACAUAAAUGUGUUUAGAUUAGAGGUAAGAAAAUUGCUUAUUGAUCAUUCUUGAGUAGCUUUUCCCACAGAAGCCAGGAUGUUUUCUACUUGGAAACAUUUUGCGAGGGUAAAACACAUUUAUACAAGCAAGAAUUGUUAGGUAUUCCUCAGCAAUUGCCUUUCAGAGUGUUUAAAUCAUUCUCUAAACUCAAACCGAUAUAAAAUCACCUCUCAAAAGAAUGAAACAUUGCGAUGUUGCAAGAAAUUGCAUAAAGGCAUCCUUUGAAUAAUGACAUCUGCUGCCAUUUGUUUAUGCACGACUGUACAUCUAUAGCAACUGAAAGGCAAAGGUGUCUCUGGAGGUUUAUCCAAUGAGGCACUGUUAUGAGCAUAUGUGAACACGAUGAACUGACUGUGUUUUUCCUGUCUGCACUAGAUCCAGCACCAAGGUAUGAGGAAUGAAGGCAUUUCUACCAGCACAAAGUCAGAUUGUUUUUCUAACAGAUAUGGGAGUCAUAUAGACUGUUAUGUUAGUUUUUAAUAUUGUCUUCAUAGAUAACUUCACUGGGUUUUAUACAAAUGGAAUAAACUUGGUCCAAAAAGCUUUGACUCCAGUGCACCACAAGUUUGAGUUACAGCUGACUUUCACAUAGUGCUUGUACAUAAUAUCUCUGUUCAUGCACUUGAUAUCAAGUUUAUGGACAGGAAAGCAGAACAAGGAAGAAUAUGAAACAACUUCUACUGCAGGGACUAGCACUCCCUUGAUCCAUAGUGACCAAACCGAAUCAUAUCAAACAAAACAGUGCUUUUCAGUGACAAUCUUUCUCUGCAUCCAAGUUAAGGAUAAUAGGACUGACCUCUCGUUAAAUACUUUAAUAUCUACUGAUUAAAGAAGCAAGAUGGCCUAUCAGCUGCUGUGAAACUUUGGAGUGAAAUAAUGCUUCAAAACAUAAGUGUUUCAUUUGCUUGAUUGUUCUGAAUAAGUUCUGCUGAGGCAUUAGCAUCCUUGAAAAAAUAUAUGUGAUAAAUCAUUAACUACAAAAUUAAAUUUCACUAUUUUGAACUUAUUUUUCCAUUAGCUCAAACAACUAGUAAACACACAAAAUAUUCUUGAAAGAAAAUGAGUUCUUGGAGAUUUUUACAUUGCACCUAAGAAUCUUGAACUUUAUUUCAGAAGGGGCCUGUAAAUUGCAGAUCUCCAGAAUAAAAAUAAGAGAGACUAUUUUUUUUUUCUAUAGCUUUUCUAAAAGUUGUAGUUAAAUUAUCUUAAGGAACAUUUCUACUCAAUUCCAGAAUAAACAGAUCUUGAUGUCUCAGUAUGCUGAGACAUAGGAGGAUUGAAAUAGAAUGAUUAUGUCCCAAGACAAUGAGAUUGGGAUUCAAAGUAUUACACACUUACAAAUGAGUGAUACGAAAGGAGAGCCAUCCUGUUUUCAUCACAAGUCCUGUCUGACCUAAGCCCUUAUAUCUUUAGAAACGGGAGGAAUGAAGUAUAAUCUUCAGGUUCAUUGUGUGGAUUGUUGCUGUGUCUGCUUUGUGAGCUAGAAACAGGUAAAAUCAUAUGCUCUUGAAUAGUAUUUUAACAAGCACAGCUGCAGGGGAAUGUAGGUAGAGUAGCUGGGAGUAAAGAAUCUUGUCCAUUAGAGCUGCUAAGGGGGGAAAUAUAAGGUGGAACAUUUUUAUAAUAAGAUUUUCAUCAUGGCUUUUAUAAAGCCAUAGUAAACAAGCUAAAUAUGAAAUAAAAUCACAGCUGAUGUCAAACUGCUUGUAUAGAAGCUCCUAACAAAUGCAAACCUGAAACGUCUGUACAUGAUUUAGAAACUAACAAAUCCCCCUGAAAGAGUUGCCAUCAGACUUAAACUGUGAAGCAAAUAAAGACAUCCGAGUAGAUUUUCUAAUUGCCUGGAUAGGAUGUAUGGUGUUAAGCAUUCAAAGAUUCAAAGGAAGAACAGUACUUGGUGGGAGCUACAGUGCCUGUGAGAUAGGCAGCAAAUGGCUAUCUGCUGUGAAUAUAUAUUUCAGUGCUAGUUAAAGAUCAAUUCAUGCUAAGGUGGAUGGCUUUGUUUAUUUUUGGAUAUUAAAACUGCACAAUUUCUGACUUAGGUCUGAGAGCGCUGCUUGCAUUGCUUUUCUUUUAUGAUGGUAUUGCUGAUCUAUUUUCCCUGUCUUGAUAAUGGUUACGGUAAGAAUAAAUCUUUAUCUAUUUGCUAGGCAGGAUUUGAUUUAUAAGUUAGAUAUGGAAGAUAUGUAAGUUCUGAUAAUCUUAUUAAGAUUCUUUUUGCUUAAUGUAGCCCUGCUGCAUGCUACCAGGUUGUAUUUCAAUACAGUAUUUUAAUGUGUGACAGUUAAGAUCUGUUAGCUCUGAUGAAGCAGGCUCAGAAUAUUGCUUCAGCUGACUACCAUCUGAAUGGAAUCUCAGUAAUCCAAUGCCUGAUAAAAAAUAACUUCAAAGUAUGUUGGAAAAUGCUCCUUUUUUGAGUUUGCGUGUUAUUACUUAGUAAGGUAUUAAUCCUUCUUUUCCACUGAACACUAGUUAUACUACAAGACUUUAAGCUAAGAGACUAGUCCAAUUAUUUUUAGGAAUAGAGAAGGUACAAGAUAGGAAAAGAUAAGUCGUAAUGAAUCUAACUACCAAAAAUAUUGGAAAACUGGAUAGUUCUGGCAAUGUACAUUUUGAACUGAGAAACUGACAGCGCACUGAAGAAGAUUGGAAGAUGGUACCUAAUUUUUAAAAAUGUAAUGUUAUUCCCUAGGCAUUAGUAUUAAGACUUUUAUGCUCCUACUUCUUUUUCAUCAUUUCAAUUUCUCCUUCCCUUCUCUACUCCCAUGUUUUCUGAAUGUGCUGUUUUCACCAGAAUUCUCAGACAUAUGUAAAUGGCCAUUUUUAAGGCAUUUUUACUGCUCAGAUGUCCAAAAGUGAUUACUUUUUUCAACUCUUUUCUCUGUCUCAGAGCUUGCAUGUGAUUUUUUUUG
This 4317-nucleotide long non-coding RNA is filed under the name Gallus gallus (chicken). RNAcentral's name for it is "lncRNA (ENSGALG00010008818.1)". The record is from RNAcentral. Lineage: Eukaryota; Metazoa; Chordata; Aves; Galliformes; Phasianidae.